ACUCAAAGGAAUAGACGGGGGAGCACCACAAGGGGUGAAGCCUGCGGCUUAAUUGGAGUCAACGCCGGGAAUCUUACCGGGAGCGACAGUAGUAUGAAGGCCAAGCUGACGACUUUGCUAGACAGACUGAGAGGAGGUGCAUGGCCGUCGCCAGUUCGUGCCGUGAGGUGUCCGGUUAAGUCCGGCAACGAACGAGACCCCCAUCUUUUGUUGCUAGCCUGUUUCUUCGGAGACAGGUGCACACGGAAGAGACUGCCAGUGUUAAACUGGAGGAGGGAGGGGGCUACGGCAGGUCAGCAUGCCCCGAAUCUCCCGGGCCGCACGCGGGCUGCAAUGGCGAGGACAGCGGGUUCCGACCUCGAAAGGGGUAGGUAAUCCCUUAAACCUCGCCGUAGUUGGGAUUGAGGGCUGUAACCCGCCCUCAUGAACAUGGAAUCCCUAGUAACCGCACGUCACCAUCGUGCGGUGAAUACGUCCCUGCUCCUUGCACACACCGCCCGU
RNAcentral lists this ribosomal RNA (501 nucleotides) under uncultured bacterium. Its description in RNAcentral is "bacterial SSU rRNA". It matches the Rfam family "Archaeal small subunit ribosomal RNA", at positions 854 to 1353 of the family's 1478-position model. The record is from RNAcentral.